GCGACUACAGAAUACUGUGUACUGCUAAACUUAUAUACAAGAUUUCUCAAGAACAAGGUAUCUGUAAAACUUUAAACCUCAGUGAUGAUGAUUGAGCUACUGGAAGAAAACUAUAAGUAUUGUUCAAAAUCUGUGCUGAAACUGAUUCUGUUAUAGAGCUGGAUACUUCUCUCCUGGUCCUCUACCAGCUCUAUUCAGCACAGAAAGUUGGUCUGUAACUGCUGCCCCAGCAUCACCUCUAGCAGGUGAAAAAAUUCCUGCCAGAGCUGCUUCAGCAGUGGCUGAAACAGCCUUCCCUGGGUAUCUCUGAAAGGUUUCUUCUAGGCCUGCUGAAAAAUGGAUCUCAAUAAAGUGGAAAAAGAAGAAUGGAGAAGAGAAAUUCUUUUGGCUGGUUUUCACAAGAAUGGAAGUUUGGCAAACAAGGCCCAAGGCACUGUAAGGAAAAGAGAUGUGAGGCUUCUGCAGGGCUUGUGGAAAUACCGCGAAAUCAGGAAAUUCCACCCCCCUGGUUUCCAAAACGACCACUACAUUUACUCCCGCGUUUCACCCCUGCCUUUACAAUCGGCAAGGAAGAAGGAUGCUGUGCCA
Chloebia gouldiae (Gouldian finch) is the source of this 588-nucleotide long non-coding RNA. NCBI's taxonomy places the organism in Eukaryota, Metazoa, Chordata, Aves, Passeriformes, Passeridae. The record is from Ensembl.